Molecule: non-coding RNA, 79 nt
Organism: Potamilus streckersoni
Lineage: Eukaryota; Metazoa; Mollusca; Bivalvia; Unionida; Unionidae
Source: the annotation of a GenBank genome assembly
GGCCGCUCCGGUGGCCUAGUGGUUAAAGCGUCCGCCUCGGAUGCGGGAGGGGGUGUGGGUUCGAUCCCCGGUCGAGUCA